AUCUUCAGCUGUGAUGCAAGCAUGAAAUUAUGUUACAUAAUUUCAUGCUUGCAUCACAGCUGAAGAU
This 67-nucleotide small RNA is filed under the name Mytilus galloprovincialis (Mediterranean mussel). Lineage: Eukaryota; Metazoa; Mollusca; Bivalvia; Mytilida; Mytilidae. The record is from RNAcentral.